Molecule: long non-coding RNA, 770 nt
Filed under: Brachypodium distachyon (stiff brome)
Lineage: Eukaryota; Viridiplantae; Streptophyta; Magnoliopsida; Poales; Poaceae
Description: long non-coding RNA (BDIS_LNC000812)
Source: RNAcentral
ACUACUUAGCUGUUUCCAGGUAUGCUCCGCCCAUUAACCUAAGCCUUUUGCAUGCCAAUACAUAUUAAUUCUCCACCUGUGAUUUGCUGGAGGAGAGAGAACGCGCCCAUUUUUUUACCGAUAAAAAUGUAUGCAAAGCUAAGGCUGCUCAUCAUAAUGGAAGUAACUUAGACAGUAACAUAAGAUGCCAACUAGGCAUUUUGGUGACAUGACAUGGUAUUAAAUGAAGAAAGAGAGGAAGGUGAUAACUAAAUAUGUUACCAUAACAUCACACAAAUCAAAACAAAAUGAGUUUACAACCUAAUAAAUGAAACAAUGCAUGACACCACAUAUAUGUUACUACCCACUAUGGAGGUGGUAACUUAGACUAGUAACAUAUACAUGUUACUUCCCACUGUGACCAGCCUAAUGCAGAUCGGUCCAAGUAGCAUGUUCAGGAGCCUUUGCAUUAAUCCCCACUGCAUGCAUAGCCGGCGCCUGCUCCCAUGGAGUAUAAAAGCACAUUUAACUAAUUCUCUCCGAGCUCAGCCUUGGUAUGCACAAAAAAAUUCAUACAUCCUACAAAAUGGAAAGGAGGGAUAUAUGUUAAAAUACAUGACCGGGUUAACCAGAAAAAAAAAGACAUUAUAAAAAAUUCCAUAAUAAAGCAAAACUUCCUACCAUUAAUUUUGUGAACCGUCCUUAAUCAGAAAGUACGGAGUACGUUCACAGGAAAGGAGUACGUUCAUAGGAAAGCUAAGCACAUAAACUACGUCUGAUGCCGUUAUUAG